ACGAGGCAUCAACCGAGAAAGCACUAUCCAAGGCCACCACACACCAACCGUCCAAAAGGGACUUCGAUAUGGAAUAAUCUUAUUUAUUGUCUCAGAAGUCCUCUUUUUUACCCACUUCUUUUGAGCCUUC
Long non-coding RNA from Balaenoptera musculus (blue whale), 130 nucleotides. RefSeq lists it as uncharacterized. The record is from RefSeq and is a predicted model, not a curated record. The transcript is spliced from 3 exons. Lineage: Eukaryota; Metazoa; Chordata; Mammalia; Artiodactyla; Balaenopteridae.